AAACUUUCAACAACGGAUCUCUUGGUUCUCGCAUCGAUGAAGAGCGCAGCGAAAUGCGAUACCUAGUGUGAAUUGCAGCCAUCGUGAAUCAUCGAGUUCUUGAACGCACAUUGCGCCCUCCGGCAUUCCGGGGGGCAUGCCUGUUUGAGCGUCGUUU
RNAcentral lists this ribosomal RNA (157 nucleotides) under Pichia norvegensis. Its description in RNAcentral is "5.8S ribosomal RNA". It matches the Rfam family "5.8S ribosomal RNA". Rfam says of the family: 5.8S ribosomal RNA (5.8S rRNA) is a component of the large subunit of the eukaryotic ribosome. It is transcribed by RNA polymerase I as part of the 45S precursor that also contains 18S and 28S rRNA. RNAcentral also lists the same sequence under 2 other names. Lineage: Eukaryota; Fungi; Ascomycota; Pichiomycetes; Pichiales; Pichiaceae. The record is from RNAcentral.